Molecule: small nuclear RNA, 108 nt
Filed under: Pollicipes pollicipes
Lineage: Eukaryota; Metazoa; Arthropoda; Thecostraca; Pollicipedomorpha; Pollicipedidae
Source: RNAcentral
GUACCAGCUCCGGCUGUACACAUACUAAAAUUGGAACGAUACAGAGAAGAUUAGCAUGGCCCCUGGCGCAAGGAUGACACGCACAAUCGUGAAGCGUUCCACUUUUUC